CGGGACUGACGGGGCUCGAACCCGCAACUUCC
RNAcentral lists this transfer RNA (32 nucleotides) under Pinus wallichiana (Bhutan pine). Its description in RNAcentral is "partial tRNA-Asp". RNAcentral also lists the same sequence under 27 other names. Lineage: Eukaryota; Viridiplantae; Streptophyta; Pinopsida; Pinales; Pinaceae. The record is from RNAcentral.